CCAUCCCAUCCCACGAGGCCACGACCAAGCAGGCAGCAAGGGCUACCCACCCGCUUGACCGGAAGUGCCGCCGCGGCAGGUGCACGGGCUACUGCCGGUGGACGUCGCCGCCGCCGUAGUAGGGGCACGUCGCCAACGCCGCCCUCCGCGGCCGCCGCUGGAGUCGUCGCCGCCGCCGCAGGAGUCAACCGCUGCCGCAGGAGCACGUCGCCCCUGCCGCCGUGGGGACACGUCACCAACGCCGCCCCCCGCGCCCGUCGCGGCCGCUGCUGGAGUCGUCGCCGCCGUUGCAGGUGCUUGUUGCCCCUGCCGCCGACUCCUGUGAUUUCAUCGCUGUCGUAGAGGUAGACGGUUGUGAUUUAAUUGUGCCGAUUUUUGUUUGACCAGAUUUGAGUACUGAGAAUGAAUUGUGAAAUUUUCUUUAUAGGCAAACUCUUUAUGAGUGAAGAUAUGGCUGACAAUUUCAGGACCCUUGAGGAGGAAGAGGAGUAUCGUACGAUUACUGCUAUGAGAUUCAAGACUGAGGAUGACGGCUUCAAGUUAUAGGCUAUUACAUUUUGCAAUCAUGUCUCAAAGUUGUUUUGUCAUUCCUACAAUUUCAGGAAAGUAGAAGAAGAUGUGUGAGAUGGAUAAGAAGUAGAAGCAGCCCUUUGCUAUGCACUUUACAUAGUUUUGUCAUUCUCUUGGUCGUAAUGAAUACAUUGGACUGUAAUGAAUCUUUGAUGUGCUUUCCUGUAGUAUGAUGGAUGUACUGCUAUUUUGAGUUGUGCUCGCAUGGUUGAAUUUUGAUGUGUUUAACUGUAUGUGAACAUGGUGUAUGCGAAUCUGAAAAUUAUGUGUUUUGGUGCUGGUGCGUUCUGGAAAUGAAGAUAUGUUUGAUGUAUUGCAAUUUGGUGCGCUGAAUUGUUUACUGUAUGUGAGUAUGAAGUUGUGCUAGCAAAUUUGGUAACAUUGAGCCAAUAUUGCUUGAUAUGCUUGAGACUGACAGCCGGAUGG
This 996-nucleotide long non-coding RNA is filed under the name Oryza sativa (Asian cultivated rice). Its description in RNAcentral is "long non-coding RNA (OSAT_LNC000222)". Lineage: Eukaryota; Viridiplantae; Streptophyta; Magnoliopsida; Poales; Poaceae. The record is from RNAcentral.